RNAcentral lists this ribosomal RNA (1168 nucleotides) under Bacillus sonorensis. RNAcentral's name for it is "bacterial SSU rRNA". It matches the Rfam family "Bacterial small subunit ribosomal RNA", at positions 42 to 1219 of the family's 1533-position model. The record is from RNAcentral. Lineage: Bacteria; Bacillati; Bacillota; Bacilli; Caryophanales; Bacillaceae.
GCGUGCUUAACACAUGCAAGUCGAACGAUGAUCUCCCGCUUGCGGGGGUGAUUAGUGGCGAACGGGUGAGUAAUACGUGAGUAACCUGCCCUUGACUCUGGGAUAAGCCUGGGAAACCGGGUCUAAUACUGGAUACUACUUCCUGCCGCAUGGUGGGGGGUGGAAAGGGUUUUACUGGUUUUGGAUGGGCUCACGGCCUAUCAGCUUGUUGGUGGGGUAAUGGCUCACCAAGGCGACGACGGGUAGCCGGCCUGAGAGGGUGACCGGCCACACUGGGACUGAGACACGGCCCAGACUCCUACGGGAGGCAGCAGUGGGGAAUAUUGCACAAUGGGCGGAAGCCUGAUGCAGCGACGCCGCGUGAGGGAUGACGGCCUUCGGGUUGUAAACCUCUUUCAGCAGGGAAGAAGCCACAAGUGACGGUACCUGCAGAAGAAGCGCCGGCUAACUACGUGCCAGCAGCCGCGGUAAUACGUAGGGCGCAAGCGUUGUCCGGAAUUAUUGGGCGUAAAGAGCUCGUAGGCGGUUUGUCGCGUCUGCUGUGAAAGCCCGGGGCUCAACCCCGGGUCUGCAGUGGGUACGGGCAGACUAGAGUGCAGUAGGGGAGACUGGAAUUCCUGGUGUAGCGGUGAAAUGCGCAGAUAUCAGGAGGAACACCGAUGGCGAAGGCAGGUCUCUGGGCUGUUACUGACGCUGAGGAGCGAAAGCAUGGGGAGCGAACAGGAUUAGAUACCCUGGUAGUCCAUGCCGUAAACGUUGGGCACUAGGUGUGGGGGACAUUCCACGUUCUCCGCGCCGUAGCUAACGCAUUAAGUGCCCCGCCUGGGGAGUACGGCCGCAAGGCUAAAACUCAAAGGAAUUGACGGGGGCCCGCACAAGCGGCGGAGCAUGCGGAUUAAUUCGAUGCAACGCGAAGAACCUUACCAAGGCUUGACAUUCACCGGACCGCACUGGAGACAGUGUUUCCCUUCGGGGUCGGUGGACGGGUGGUGCAUGGUUGUCGUCAGCUCGUGUCGUGAGAUGUUGGGUUAAGUCCCGCAACGAGCGCAACCCUCGUUCUAUGUUGCCAGCACGUGAUGGUGGGGACUCAUAGGAGACUGCCGGGGCCAACUCGGAGGAAGGUGGGGAUGACGUCAAAUCAUCAUGCCCCUUAUGUCUUGGGCUUCAC